CCUACGGGUGGCAGCAGUGAGGAAUCUUGGUCAAUGGGCGAGAGCCUGAACCAGCCAAGCCGCGUGAAGGAUGAAGGAUCUCUGGUCUGUAAACUUCUUUUAUAUGGGAAUAAAGUGAGGAACGUGUUCCUUUUUGUAUGUACCAUAUUAAUUAGCAUCGGCUAACUCCGCGCCAGCAGCCGCGGUAAUACGGAGGAUGCGAGCGUUAUCCGGAUUUAUUGGGUGUAAAGGGUGCGUAGGUGGUUAAUUAAGUCAGCGGUGAAAGUUUGUGGCUCAACCAUAAAAUUGCCGUUGAAGCUGGUUGACUUGAGUAUAUUUGAGGUGAGCGGAAUGCGAGGUGUAGCGGUGGAAUGCAUAGAUAUCACGCAGAACUCCGAUUGCGAAGGCAGCUUACUAAUCUAUAACUGACACUGAAGCACGAAAGCAUGGGGAUCAAACAGGAUUAGAUACCCGGGUAGUC
This 460-nucleotide ribosomal RNA is filed under the name uncultured bacterium. RNAcentral describes it as "partial 16S ribosomal RNA". It matches the Rfam family "Bacterial small subunit ribosomal RNA", at positions 338 to 795 of the family's 1533-position model. The record is from RNAcentral.